RNAcentral lists this ribosomal RNA (253 nucleotides) under uncultured bacterium. RNAcentral's name for it is "partial 16S ribosomal RNA". It matches the Rfam family "Bacterial small subunit ribosomal RNA", at positions 524 to 776 of the family's 1533-position model. The record is from RNAcentral.
UACGGAGGGUGCAAGCGUUAUCCGGAUUCACUGGGUUUAAAGGGUGCGUAGGAGGGCAGGUAAGUCAGUGGUGAAAUCCUAGAGCUUAACUCUAGAACUGCCGUUGUUACUAUCUGUCUUGAAUAUUGUGGAGGUGAGCGGAAUAUGUCAUGUAGCGGUGAAAUGCUUAGAUAUGACAUAGAACACCAAUUGCGAAGGCAGCUCGCUACACAUAUAUUGACUCUGAGGCACGAAAGCGUGGGGAUCAAACAGG